GACGUAGGGCGCGAGCGUUGUCCGGAUUUAUUGGGCGUAAAGAGCUCGUAGGCGGUCUGUCGCGUCGGAUGUGAAAGCCCGGGGCUUAACCCCGGGUCUGCAUUCGAUACGGGCAGACUAGAGUGUGGUAGGGGAGAUCGGAAUUCCUGGUGUAGCGGUGAAAUGCGCAGAUAUCAGGAGGAACACCGGUGGCGAAGGCGGAUCUCUGGGCCAUUACUGACGCUGAGGCGCGAAAGCGUGGGGAGCAAACAGG
This 253-nucleotide ribosomal RNA is filed under the name uncultured bacterium. RNAcentral's name for it is "partial 16S ribosomal RNA". It matches the Rfam family "Bacterial small subunit ribosomal RNA", at positions 524 to 776 of the family's 1533-position model. The record is from RNAcentral.